This 30-nucleotide non-coding RNA is filed under the name Rattus norvegicus (Norway rat). The record is from RNAcentral. Lineage: Eukaryota; Metazoa; Chordata; Mammalia; Rodentia; Muridae.
UCCUAGGAGGAUCACUUUGUGUCUAGGUUC